GACAAACCACAUUAGGCCAAUGAAGU
RNAcentral lists this non-coding RNA (26 nucleotides) under Mus musculus (house mouse). Lineage: Eukaryota; Metazoa; Chordata; Mammalia; Rodentia; Muridae. The record is from RNAcentral.